GCGCAAUGAUGAACAAGAACUCUCUCACUGAAUGUCUGUGUUGUUCACCUACAUUAUCAGAGCGCA
RNAcentral lists this small nucleolar RNA (66 nucleotides) under Necator americanus (New World hookworm). RNAcentral describes it as "Nematode snoRNA ceN114". It matches the Rfam family "Nematode snoRNA ceN114". The record is from Rfam by way of RNAcentral. Lineage: Eukaryota; Metazoa; Nematoda; Chromadorea; Rhabditida; Ancylostomatidae.